RNAcentral lists this ribosomal RNA (369 nucleotides) under Triticum aestivum (bread wheat). RNAcentral's name for it is "partial small subunit ribosomal RNA". Lineage: Eukaryota; Viridiplantae; Streptophyta; Magnoliopsida; Poales; Poaceae. The record is from RNAcentral.
AUGAUGUAUACAAGAUCCAUUUAUCUAUUGCGGAGGUAUAGAUCCCGUCUUGUUAUCCUUAGUAGCAAUGAUACAUACAUGCCGGUUCCCCUUCUAUCACUGGGAUCAAGCACCGUAAGAUCGAACCCACUACAAAGCACCUCUUCCAAUUGCAAGAUAAAUAGAUCAAGUUGGCCAAACAAAACCAAAAUAUUGGAGAAGAAAUACGAGGCUAUAAGAAAUCAUGCAUAUAAGAGAUCAAAGAAGACUCAAAUAACUUUUAUGGAUAAAAACAUAGAUCUGAUCAUAAACUCAAAGUUCAUCGGAUCCCAACAAACACACCGCAAAAGGACUUACAUCACAUGGAUCUCCAAGAGACCAUUGUAUUGA